ACUAAUUUGGCAGAUUCAGUGCUUUAAAUUUAGAAUUUAAUAAUGUAAAUAAUUUUACAGUUAGUA
Molecule: transfer RNA, 66 nt
Filed under: Dichoptera sp. WW-2021a
Lineage: Eukaryota; Metazoa; Arthropoda; Insecta; Hemiptera; Fulgoridae
Description: tRNA-Leu
Source: RNAcentral